This 286-nucleotide unclassified non-coding RNA is filed under the name plant metagenome. RNAcentral's name for it is "partial contains small subunit ribosomal RNA, internal transcribed spacer 1, and 5.8S ribosomal RNA". The stretch from base 1 to 55 matches the Rfam family "Eukaryotic small subunit ribosomal RNA", at positions 1778 to 1831 of the family's 1831-position model. The record is from RNAcentral.
GGAAGUAAAAGUCCGUAACAAGGUUUCCGUAGGUGAACCUGCGGAAGGAUCAUUAUUGUAUAACCGAGGUGCGAGGGCUGUCGCUGACCCGAAAGGUCGUGCACGCCCGAGUGCCCUCACACACAUCCAUCUCACCCCUAUGUGCACCACCGCGUGGGUCCCCCUUUGGCUUGUUCGGAGGGGGGCUUACGUUUUCACACAAACUUUGUAUGCAGUGUAGAAUGUAUUUUUUGUUUUUGCGAUCACGCAAUCAAUACAACUCUCAACAACGGAUCUCUUGGCUCUC